GUCAAUAACCCCACCUGAUUCAAAGAAUCAGAUGGGGCUUGUGAAAGAAAAGCAAUUUUCUUACAUAAGCCCGAUUGACUAGCCUAAGUGCUUCGAGCACUACGUUAUGCAGUGACGCAUAAGCGACUUACCUGUGAAUGCUCCACAAGUUCACAGCUCUA
This 161-nucleotide small RNA is filed under the name uncultured Bulleidia sp. RNAcentral describes it as "HNH endonuclease-associated RNA and ORF (HEARO) RNA". It matches the Rfam family "HNH endonuclease-associated RNA and ORF (HEARO) RNA", at positions 1 to 127 of the family's 211-position model. Lineage: Bacteria; Bacillati; Bacillota; Erysipelotrichia; Erysipelotrichales; Erysipelotrichaceae. The record is from RNAcentral.